Molecule: RNA transcript, 3383 nt
Organism: Eleginops maclovinus (Patagonian blennie)
Lineage: Eukaryota; Metazoa; Chordata; Actinopteri; Perciformes; Eleginopidae
Gene: cnih3
Gene name: cornichon family AMPA receptor auxiliary protein 3
Exons: 8
Source: RefSeq, a predicted model, not a curated record
CUCCUGCCACCGCUGCUGCUGAAUGGAUUACCUACAAUUCCACCUCUCCCAGAUGCUUUUCAGCACACACUACUAACGUCCACUCCUCUGUGUGUGAGGAGCCCUGCCUUCUCAUGAUUCCAUGACCACCUCGUGGACACUGCUCGCGGAUCAUGUCAGUGAUUUGAACCCCGCUUUGACUUCACAUCCCCGCUGCUGCUGCUGGCUGGACGCACGGCUCUUCCUCCGGGGAGGUUUUCCUGCAACAAUUUGUUUUAUGAGGGGCGAAAUCAUGGUGCCUGUACCGCAUCGGCUCCAAAUGGCACCGUGAGAACUUUCCUCCCUCCCCCCUUUUCCCCCAUUCUUUUUUAUUUUAGAUGUGUGUCAUUGGGAACGUGCUUCUUUGGGAAAUUAGCCACCGUGUCCCCUUUCAAUUAUGUUCACUUUUGCUGCCUUCUGCUACAUGCUGUCUCUGGUCCUCUGUGUGUCCCUGAUCUUCUUUGCUAUAUGGCACAUAACAGCCUUUGAUGAGCUCCAGGCCGACUUCAAGGUGCCGAUCGAUCAGGGCAAUCCACUCCAUGCGAGGGAGAGACUGCGGAACAUUGAGAGGAUCUGCAACUUGCUGAGGAAGUUGGUGCUACCAGAGUACUCCAUCCAUGGACUCUUCUGCAUCAUGUUCCUGUGUGCCCAGGAGUGGCUGACCGUGGGCCUCAACAUCCCCCUCCUCUUCUACAACACAUGGAGGUACUUCCAUUCCCCAACGGACACUAAGGAGCUGCUCUACGACCCAGCGUCCGUCAUGAACGGAGACACGCUCAAGUUCUGCCUAAAGGAGGCGUGGUGCAAGCUGUCCUUCUUCGUCCUGUCCUUCUUCUACUAUCUUUACUGUGUGUGGAACCUGGAUAUAUCCCUCUAAUAGAACUUUUCAAUGGAAACACUUAAAGCUUAUGCUGCGCUAGAGAACCCUGGCGACAGCAGCAGCAGCAGCGAGUAUGAUCUACUCCUUGGUUACCUCAACAUAACAACUGAUUUAUCAGCAACUGGAGAGAAGGAAAAACGCCUCUGGAAAUACAGACCACCACUGUUUCGGUCUAGAAUUGAAAGACAGGAAAUAGAAGAAAUAAAAAUGUUGGGUUUUUUUUGCUGCAAAGCCAAACAAUGAGCUCAACAGGGGCUAAUAUUUUUUUACCUGCUCUGUCCCCUUAAGAAGGAAGGUUUCUUGCUUGUCUGUAAAUAAAAACUGAAGUCUUGUUUACAGUUAGACCGGUCAUAGCUAGACCCAAGUAAAUCACUGCCUGGCCAACAUUUGAACCAAACACACACACACACACACACACACACACAUAUAUCCACAGCCUCCUCUGAAGUGGUACCGUACAUACUGUAAAGUUGCAGCGCUGGUAGCCCCAGAGGAUAAAGAGCACAGUAGCGUUUGCACAGUUUGUCUCAGGCACAGCAUGGUGAAGCACUGUCCGGCCCAGCACGGCUCACCGACCCUCAGUCAUCCUUUCUCGAUGCCUCGCCAACCGUAGCUUCACUGGUGAGUCAGACACGAGGGAUACAUGGACGACUGCAUGGACAGAUAACACUGUACAUAAAGGAGAACGCUUUGGUUGGAAACACCCGAGGAGACGAUAUUUUCCACUGAAAGGCACACACUGUCCAUGGCCUGUGGGAUUUUCUUUCUAACAUUACGUGAAUGGCUUUUGUGACGUGUGCAUUUUGGUGUAUUCUUUAACAAAAGGCAUUUCUAAUUGAAGUACAGCAAAAGGUAUCCUAUACAGCAAAUGCCUUCUUAGUGUCGUCCUAGUGUUGUUCUAUUGUGGGAAAACUUUUCUCAAACUUAAAAGCUAAAACCUGUCCAAUUUUUUGAUAGUAGAGGAGCACAUAUUCUUUGCACAAAUAGAGUCUUGCACAAUAUCUGCAAUAUUUGGCUAUAUUAGAGAUAAAUUAUGAUAGUCUAGCCACACAGGUGAAGGUCUUCCAAUAUGUAAAGAACUAUCCAGCCCAGUUUGAAUAUGGGGAGACAAUGUGAAUCUUUUUUAGCUCGAUUUACACCAUGAACCAAAAGAUUUAUCUUUCAGUAUUGAAAUUAAUUUAUUAUUGUCUAUUUGUGAGAUAUUGAUAGUUUGCCUCCUUUAUCUACCUUAAAUUAAAUAUGAUAUUCUAAUAUAACCACACCAUGAUAAGGGCCUGUGUCCACAUAGCGCUUUUUCUGGCAGAGCCGCCACCCAGCAUUUUAUCAGACAAACGUUCUUAGCGUUGUUCUAUGACGUAUCACCGCCGUUGGACUAGCAUCGUCCAUUUGUAUUUUAUAAUCUGAAAGUGCUAAUACAUAUUUGUUUCAUAUUGUUUUUUCACCUAAGAGUCAUACAGUGAGGACCUAUUUUAGUAGGUGGACCUGCGAGUAAGUAUAGCAAAGGCUCCCUCUGCUAAAAGCAAUUGGAUUUCCCCAUUUCAUAUCAGUAUAUUGCAGGAAGUAAAUAUUGUGACUGACACAUUUAUAAUACUUAACAACGUUCACCAGGAUCAUUUUUCUAUAUAUUAACUCGACAUGGUGAUUUUUGAAGAGUAAAAACAGUCGUCAGAAGUAAAGUGCUAGCAUUAGGCUAUAAUCAAACUACAUCCUGGUCGCAUGGCAUCACCACCGCUGAGUAUAAGGCUGAUCAUUUUUGGCUAAAUGACAUUUAGAAGUUCUGUUAAGUCACUUGUUAGCAACCGUCGUUUUUAGACAUCUAACCACAAACACGUUCACAGAAAAAAAUGGAACAUUUUUCACAGAAACAUGCUAAGUCUUUCACGGUGAAAAGUCGUAACACUUUCAACUUGAAGCGCUCGUAGCAGCCUCACAAACAAUCAGGAAAAACUCCAACGUUUCUUUAUGGCGGUUGCAUGCAACGGCAUACUCUCACUACCUUAAUAUACACAUUUGAAAAAGAUGAUGGCGGUCAGAAAAGUACGCUCUGUGGACACAGGCCCUAAGACAGCAUGUGUAGUAAAGAUGAAGUUGCGUAAGGUACCGAGCAUUGAUCCGUCUUUCUGUGUGAUUUGAAUAAAAGCAACUGUAGCAGGUGAUACAUGAGAUCUGUCUGAGUAGAUUGAGGUUUAACUGUAUAAUGAUUACCAGAAAGAAAGUACCUCACAGGACAAACUCACCUACAGAUCACCAUCCCCGAAGCUGGAACAAAUUAAGCAUCUUGCUCAGAGACACAGGGGCUUGAACCUGAAUCUUCCAUGUGUAGCACAGUUUUCUAACUACCAGGCCACCCUGUAGAUCUUCACCAUCAUCUUCACACAAUGAGCUCACUUUGUAAGCUGCCCUUCAAAAAGCAGAUAGGAAUGCCCAGUUCUUGUUGUUUUCUCUUCUUCUAAUUCAAGCAUUUUCUAUCCUUAUUGUGUAUGUG